Molecule: transfer RNA, 60 nt
Filed under: Camelus bactrianus (Bactrian camel)
Lineage: Eukaryota; Metazoa; Chordata; Mammalia; Artiodactyla; Camelidae
Also listed under: 2 other names
Rfam family: tRNA
About the family: Transfer RNA (tRNA) molecules are approximately 80 nucleotides in length.
Source: Rfam by way of RNAcentral
GGGGGUAUAGCUCAGUGGUAGAGUGUGUGCUUGGCAUGCACAGGGUCCUGGGUAGCUCCA